This is a small nuclear RNA of Nycticebus coucang (slow loris), 104 nucleotides long. NCBI's taxonomy places the organism in Eukaryota, Metazoa, Chordata, Mammalia, Primates, Lorisidae. The record is from RefSeq and is a predicted model, not a curated record.
GUGCUCACUUCAGCAGCACAUAUGCUAAAAUUGGAAGGAUAUAGACAUUAUCAUGGCCCCUGCACAAGAAUGACACACAUUCAUGAGGCAUUCCAUAUAUUUUU